UCCUAUCCUCUUCAUUUCCUUCUAUGCCUAUCUCACAGAAUAAAAUAUAUCCCCAUCAUUUUCUUUCUUUCUUGCAGUUCCAGAAUUACUGACCAACACAAAGUAUGUAUAGAAAGUAUAAAGAUGACAGGAGAAAUGCCUGAAUAAAUAUGCUCUUUUACGUAGCAAACUUUUGGCUCAAGAAGAGAGAACAUUCGUCUUUUUCAAGAGAAGUGGAAGAAAAGGCAAGCAAGAAAGUAUGGAAGGGAAAGUGAGAUAAAGAAAGCAAGCUUCAGCCUGAGGAAGAACUGCUGUUGGAACAGAAAAAGGCAGAUGGUAAUGUGUAUGCGAAGUGUGGUUGUAAUUAUUUUAUUACCUAGGCAAGCAUAAGGCUUGUUUAUGUGAGAAGAGGUGAUUAAUUCCUUUGGGUCAUAAGAGAAAAAUUCCAGACCUGUAACAGAUUUCUCUGGUGAGCUACUGAAUUCUUUGUAUCUACCCCUCUGCCAGGCUGUACCUUCUCUGCAUCACCUCUAAACACAAUAAAUAAAUAAACAGAAAAAAAUCCCAGAAAGAAAUUUGGUUUCAUGGAUGAAGUCUUGCCUCC
This is a long non-coding RNA of Tympanuchus pallidicinctus (lesser prairie-chicken), 583 nucleotides long. RefSeq lists it as uncharacterized. NCBI's taxonomy places the organism in Eukaryota, Metazoa, Chordata, Aves, Galliformes, Phasianidae. The transcript is spliced from 3 exons. The record is from RefSeq and is a predicted model, not a curated record.